Molecule: long non-coding RNA, 456 nt
Organism: Macadamia integrifolia
Lineage: Eukaryota; Viridiplantae; Streptophyta; Magnoliopsida; Proteales; Proteaceae
Exons: 3
Source: RefSeq, a predicted model, not a curated record
AAAGGCAGAAGAAAAAGAGAAGGGAGAAAGAAGGAGAGAGAAGAAAGGAAGGCAAGGAGGAGAAGGAGGAGAAGGAGAGCUUGAGCAAGGGAAAGGGAAGCAUCCCCACUCACCUACACUAAAUCAAAGAACCGUCAACCGGUGAGGCUAUGCAACGCGAGGUUAUCAAUAGUACACGGCUCAUAGAGACGAAAGAUGUUGAUUCAAGUAUUUCCUCCGAUGUCAUUGUGGAGACUCUAACACUGCUUGGAGAUGAGUUGCGGGAAGAAGAGCUAGUAGAGCACGAGCAAAGUUAUAUUUGUGAUGACAGUGCCUACGGGGCACUCUGAGGAUGAUAGAUGUCACUCUUACCUUUUGAUUCUUUUUUGUAUAUAUUUGAUGUAAUGCUGUAGAUAGUAUAUGUAAUUAUGUUUUGAUAGGAAUUCACAUUCUUAUUGUGUAAAUACGAUACUUAUC